GACGAACGCUGGCGGCGUGCUUAACACAUGCAAGUCGAACGGAAAGGCCCUGCUUUUGUGGGGUGCUCGAGUGGCGAACGGGUGAGUAACACGUGAGUAACCUGCCCUUGACUUUGGGAUAACUUCAGGAAACUGGGGCUAAUACCGGAUAGGAGCUCCUGCUGCAUGGUGGGGGUUGGAAAGUUUCGGCGGUUGGGGAUGGACUCGCGGCUUAUCAGUUUGUUGGUGGGGUAGUGGCUUACCAAGGCUUUGACGGGUAGCCGGCCUGGGAGGGUGACCGGCCACAUUGGGACUGAGAUACGGCCCAGACUCCUACGGGAGGCAGCGGUGGGGAGUAUUGCACAAUGGGCGGAAGCCUGAUGCAGCAACGCCGCGUGCGGGAUGACGGCCUUCGGGUUGUGAACCGCUUUCGCCUGUGACGAAGCGUGAGUGACGGUAAUGGGUAAAGAAGCACCGGCUAACUACGUG
RNAcentral lists this ribosomal RNA (468 nucleotides) under uncultured bacterium. RNAcentral's name for it is "partial 16S ribosomal RNA". It matches the Rfam family "Bacterial small subunit ribosomal RNA", at positions 28 to 507 of the family's 1533-position model. The record is from RNAcentral.